GACGAACGCUGGCGGCGUGCUUAACACAUGCAAGUCGAACGGAAAGGCCCUGCUUUUGUGGGGUGCUCGAGUGGCGAACGGGUGAGUAACACGUGAGUAACCUGCCCUUGACUUUGGGAUAACUUCAGGAAACUGGGGCUAAUACCGGAUAGGAGCUCCUGCUGCAUGGUGGGGGUUGGAAAGUUUCGGCGGUUGGGGAUGGACUCGCGGCUUAUCAGCUUGUUGGUGGGGUAGUGGCUUACCAAGGCUUUGACGGGUAGCCGGCCUGAGAGGGUGACCGGCGACAUUGGGACUGAGAUACGGCACAGACUGCUACGGGAGGCAGCAGUGGGGAAUAUUGCACAAUGGGCGGAAGCCUGAUGCAGAAACGCCGCGUGCGGGAUGACGGCCUUCGGGUUGUAAACCGCUUUCGCCUGUGACGAAGCGUGAGUGACGGUAAUGGGUAAAGAAGCACCGGCUAACUACGUG
RNAcentral lists this ribosomal RNA (468 nucleotides) under uncultured bacterium. RNAcentral describes it as "partial 16S ribosomal RNA". It matches the Rfam family "Bacterial small subunit ribosomal RNA", at positions 28 to 507 of the family's 1533-position model. The record is from RNAcentral.